CUACGGUGCUGAAGCAACAAAUGCCCUGCUUCCAGGAAAAGCCUCUAAGCAUCAGGUAACAUCAAAUCGUACCCCAAACCGACACAGGUGGUCAGGUAGAGAAUACCAAGGCGCUUGAGAGAACUCGGGUGAAGGAACUAGGCAAAAUGGUGCCGUAACUUCGGGAGAAGGCACGCUGACACGUAGGUGAAGUGAUUUACUCACGGAGCUGAAGUCAGUCGAAGAUACCAGCUGGCUGCAACUGUUUAUUAAAAACACAGCACUGUGCAAACACGAAAGUGGACGUAUACGGUGUGACGCCUGCCCGGUGCCGGAAGGUUAAUUGAUGGGGUCAGCGCAAGCGAAGCUCCUGAUCGAAGCCCCGGUAAACGGCGGCCGUAACUAUAACGGUCCUAAGGUAGCGAAAUUCCUUGUCGGGUAAGUUCCGACCUGCACGAAUGGCGUAAUGAUGGCCAGGCUGUCUCCACCCGAGACUCAGUGAAAUUGAACUCGCUGUGAAGAUGCAGUGUACCCGCGGCAAGACGGAAAGACCCCGUGAACCUUUACUAUAGCUUGACACUGAACAUUGAGCCUUGAUGUGUAGGAUAGGUGGGAGGCUUUGAAGUGUGGACGCCAGUCUGCAUGGAGCCGACCUUGAAAUACCACCCUUUAAUGUUUGAUGUUCUAACGUGGACCCGUAAUCCGGGUUGCGGACAGUGUCUGGUGGGUAGUUUGACUGGGGCGGUCUCCUCCUAAAGAGUAACGGAGGAGCACGAAGGUUGGCUAAUCCUGGUCGGACAUCAGGAGGUUAGUGCAAUGGCAUAAGCCAGCUUGACUGCGAGCGUGACGGCGCGAGCAGGUGCGAAAGCAGGUCAUAGUGAUCCGGUGGUUCUGAAUGGAAGGGCCAUCGCUCAACGGAUAAAAGGUACUCCGGGGAUAACAGGCUGAUACCGCCCAAGAGUUCAUAUCGACGGCGGUGUUUGGCACCUCGAUGUCGGCUCAUCACAUCCUGGGGCUGAAGUAGGUCCCAAGGGUAUGGCUGUUCGCCAUUUAAAGUGGUACGCGAGCUGGGUUUAGAACGUCGUGAGACAGUUCGGUCCCUAUCUGCCGUGGGCGCUGGAGAACUGAGGGGGGCUGCUCCUAGUACGAGAGGACCGGAGUGGACGCAUCACUGGUGUUCGGGUUGUCAUGCCAAUGGCACUGCCCGGUAGCUAAAUGCGGAAGAGAUAAGUGCUGAAAGCAUCUAAGCACGAAACUUGCCCCGAGAUGAGUUCUCCCUGAGACUUAGAGUCUCCUGAAGGAACGUUGAAGACGACGACGUUGAUAGGCCGGGUGUGUAAGCGCAGCGAUGCGUUGAGCUAACCGGUACUAAUGAACCGUGAGGCUUAACCUUACA
Molecule: ribosomal RNA, 1375 nt
Filed under: Salmonella enterica
Lineage: Bacteria; Pseudomonadati; Pseudomonadota; Gammaproteobacteria; Enterobacterales; Enterobacteriaceae
Description: partial 23S ribosomal RNA
Rfam family: Bacterial large subunit ribosomal RNA
Source: RNAcentral